Molecule: ribosomal RNA, 256 nt
Filed under: uncultured bacterium
Lineage: Bacteria
Description: partial 16S ribosomal RNA
Rfam family: Bacterial small subunit ribosomal RNA
Source: RNAcentral
UACGGGGGGGGGCAAGCGUUGUUCGGAAUUACUGGGCGUAAAGGCGCGUAGGCGGCCUGUUAAGUCACACGUGAAAUCCCUCGGCUCAACCGGGGGAACUGCGUGUGAUACUGGCGGGCUUGAAUUCGGGAGAGGGAUGUGGAAUUCCAGGUGUAGCGGUGGAAAUGCGUAGAUAUCUGGAGGAACACCAGUGGCGAAGGCGGCAUCCUGGACCGAGAUUGACGCUGAGGCGCGAAAGCCUAGGGGAGCAAACGGG